Molecule: long non-coding RNA, 457 nt
Organism: Motacilla alba alba
Lineage: Eukaryota; Metazoa; Chordata; Aves; Passeriformes; Motacillidae
Exons: 3
Source: RefSeq, a predicted model, not a curated record
GAAUCAACGAGAAGCUUUUCUUCAGCCUGAAGAACGGGACCAUGCAGUACAAGCUCCUGCCGGCUGAGGCCGUGUUUGCCAACACCCUGGGGCUCCUCAUCCUCAUUUUUGGAGUGCUGGUGGUGGCUGCCCUGGCCAGGCCCAGCUGGAAGCGCCCAGAUUCCGACUCCCCGGACUCCCGCCAGCCCCUGCUCUCUGCUGAGCGCUGAUCCCAGGGAUCUCCCAGCACUCCCAAGCUGCGUCCUUGUGCUCCAUGUGCCAGCUCCUGCCUGGAUCCCGGGGCAUGCCCUACCCCAGCGCUUGCCGGUGCCAUCCCUCAACGCCGCGGCUGGAGCUGCCAGAGCCUUGCUGGGACAAGGAGGAGCAUCCGUAUCCCUCCCACUCCAGAGGAUCCGGCUCAGGGUGGAGCCACUCAGGGACCUCACGGACAUGGAAUAAAACAUUGGCUUCUGCAGGG